This is a long non-coding RNA of Rhipicephalus microplus (southern cattle tick), 245 nucleotides long. The record is from RefSeq and is a predicted model, not a curated record. Lineage: Eukaryota; Metazoa; Arthropoda; Arachnida; Ixodida; Ixodidae.
GCGCACACGUGGCUCACGGUAACACCGCGCACGGGCAUCCUCUAUGUUACGGAUUCCGAGAGGCUGCGUGAAUUCAACCACUCCGAGACAGGUGUGCUACUUGAGGCAUCGUGGGAAGAAGAUGGGGAGAACGGCACCACCCGGCGUCACCUCUACCGCGUCGAAGUGCAUAUCCAGGAGUCUAAAGAUGACCAACAAGCGGAUCAGUGCGAAGGACGCCUCUGUGGUCAGCAACUGAGUGAGAC